AUUGAACGCUGACGGCAUGCCUUACACAUGCAAGUCGAACGGCAGCACGGGAGCUUGCUCCUGGUGGCGAGUGGCGAACGGGUGAGUAAUACAUCGGAACGUACCCAGGAGUGGGGGAUAACGUAGCGAAAGUUACGCUAAUACCGCAUAUUCUGUGAGCAGGAAAGCGGGGGAUCGCAAGACCUCGCGCUCUUGGAGCGGCCGAUGUCGGAUUAGCUAGUUGGUGAGGUAAAAGCUCACCAAGGCGACGAUCCGUAGCAGGUCUGAGAGGAUGAUCUGCCACACUGGGACUAAGACACGGCCCAGACUCCUACGGGAGGCAGCAGUGGGGAAUUUUGGACAAUGGGGGCAACCCUGAUCCAGCCAUGCCGCGUGAGUGAAGAAGGCCUUCGGGUUGUAAAGCUCUUUCGGCGGGGAAGAAAUGGCAACGGCUAAUAUCCGUUGUUGAUGACGGUACCCGCAUAAGAAGCACCGGCUAACUACGUGCCAGCCGCCGCGGUAA
RNAcentral lists this ribosomal RNA (502 nucleotides) under uncultured bacterium. Its description in RNAcentral is "partial 16S ribosomal RNA". It matches the Rfam family "Bacterial small subunit ribosomal RNA", at positions 30 to 523 of the family's 1533-position model. The record is from RNAcentral.